UGGGGAAUCUUGGACAAUGGGGGCAACCCUGAUCCAGCGAUGCCGCGUGAGCGAAGAAGGCCUUAGGGUUGUAAAGCUCUUUCGCCCGCGACGAUGAUGACGGUAGCGGGAGAAGAAGCCCCGGCUAACUCCGUGCCAGCAGCCGCGGUAAUACGGAGGGGGCUAGCGUUGUCCGGAAUUACUGGGCGUAAGGGCGCGUAGGCGGCGCGGGAAGUCACUUGUGAAAUCUCGGAGCUUAGCUCAGAACGGCCAAGUGAUACUGCUGUGCUAGAGGGCGGAAGAGGCAACCGGAAUUCUUGGUGUAGCGGUGAAAUGCGUAGAUAUCAAGAGGAACACCUGAGGCGAAGGCGGGUUGCUGGGCCGACACUGACGCUGAUGCGCGAAAGCCAGGGGAGCAAACG
RNAcentral lists this ribosomal RNA (401 nucleotides) under uncultured bacterium. RNAcentral describes it as "bacterial SSU rRNA". It matches the Rfam family "Bacterial small subunit ribosomal RNA", at positions 355 to 774 of the family's 1533-position model. The record is from RNAcentral.